This 570-nucleotide ribosomal RNA is filed under the name uncultured bacterium. RNAcentral describes it as "bacterial SSU rRNA". It matches the Rfam family "Bacterial small subunit ribosomal RNA", at positions 240 to 807 of the family's 1533-position model. The record is from RNAcentral.
AUUAGCUAGAUGGUAAGGUAACGGCUUACCAUGGCUACGAUGUCUAGGGGUUCUGAGAGGAAGGUCCCCCACACUGGAACUGAGACACGGUCCAGACUCCUACGGGAGGCAGCAGUGAGGAAUAUUGGACAAUGGAUGGAAAUCUGAUCCAGCCAUGCCGCGUGCAGGAAGACGGCCCUAUGGGUUGUAAACUGCUUUUGUAUGGGAGCAAUAAGAUCUACGUGUAGAUUGAUGAGAGUACCAUACGAAUAAGCACCGGCUAACUCCGUGCCAGCAGCCGCGGUAAUACGGAGGGUGCAAGCGUUAUCCGGAUUUAUUGGGUUUAAAGGGUGCGUAGGCGGUUUGAUAAGUCAGCGGUGAAAUAUUUCAGCUUAACUGGAAGGGUGCCGUUGAUACUGUCGAGCUUGAAUUUAGUUGCUGUGGGUGGAAUGUGUGGUGUAGCGGUGAAAUGCAUAGAUAUCACACAGAAUAUCGAUUGCGAAGGCAGCUCACAAAGCUAAUAUUGACGCUGAUGCACGAAAGUGUGGGGAUCAAACAGGAUUAGAUACCCUGGUAGUCCACACUGUAAAC